UUGGCGUGGCUGUUGCGUGGGGUGGUCUCAGUAGUCGGAGCAGGGUCGGCCAUAUCCAUACUGUGUCCAGCGCUGCAGGAAGCAGAGAAUGGCUGCGACCCCACGCUGAGAACAUGACCAGAUCCAACUGAUGGUAGCUGCAAGAACACUGAUUAGAAUUGGUUGACUGCAAGGAUCUGAGCUGUCAUAAUAGCGUUAAAGAAGUCUGCAAAAUCCAUCAGAUGUAAACAUCACACUUAAGUUCCAUUCCUCAAAGAAUGGCGUCCUUCUGGGGACUCGCAGUGCCAAAGUGAUGCUAUUAGGCAAGAGAUGGUGAAGGACAAGACAAAAGGCUGAGAUCCAGAGAAGACGGUACUAUUCCAGACCAAGAUGGGAUGCUACAGGCUCGACAGCCCCAUAGAGCCCUUUCCAUGCACAACUGUCAGUCCCAUAUUAGGGAGAGUUGACCACCUUACAGAAGUAAGAAAGCAAAGUAGAAGGAUUCACACUGCAUGGGUGGUGCUGAACACAGACAUUACCAUUAAUGAAAAUGGAACUGGUAUAUAGAAAUACAGAGAAGAGAGAAGGAGAGAAACAGAAAGACCCGCAUCUUCAACAGGAUCUCCUGCUGCGAUCCCCCUGCCCUCCCAGCCACUCUGGAUUAUAGCAUGUGGGUACAGCAUAUUCCAGUUAAAUGGAUAUCCAAGCUGUGUCCUUCCAUAUGGAUCCAGCAUCGCCGGAGCAGUGUGUCACCAGUGUGCCACCGAUUGAAUUCCAAAGGCAUCAAAAAAGGCAGUCAACUCAAUCAGAGAGAGAUGGCGAAUUUUCUUCAUGUCUUCAGCAG
Tupaia belangeri chinensis (Chinese tree shrew) is the source of this 823-nucleotide long non-coding RNA. RefSeq lists it as uncharacterized. Lineage: Eukaryota; Metazoa; Chordata; Mammalia; Scandentia; Tupaiidae. The record is from RefSeq and is a predicted model, not a curated record. The transcript is spliced from 7 exons.